GUUUCCUCCUCUGCCUAUCAAUGUGUGUGGGGUUGAAAUCGCUUUGUAAACUAUAAAGCGUGGGUGUACGUAAAGGAUGGUUAUUGUUUAUAAUUUUUUUUGAGUUGUAAGAAAACUUAGCAGUUCCCCAAUCCUUGGGUUUUGAACCUGGGAACCUUGGAUUGGAGUUGGGGAUCCCCAAACUUCCUGAAAUUGUGGGAAUGUGCGGUUUGGGGGAAUGAUGGGAAUUUGUGGGAAUGUGCGUUUUAGGGGAAUGAUGAUCCAUCGCUAGCAAGUUUUCCAAGGGGGCUGUGACCCAGAAGAGUUAAGAAUCACAAUUUCUUCAUGCUACAGAGAGGAAACUGAGGCCUAGAUGUCAUUUGGGACCCUUCACAACCAUUUUGAAGCCCUGUUUGAGUCCCUGGGAUAUGUGAGCUGUUUCUAUGCAUAAUGGAUAUUCGGGGUUAACAACAGUCCCCUGCUUGGCUUCUAUUCUGAAUCCUUUUCUUUCACCAUGGGGUGCCUGAAGGGUGGCUGAUGCAUAUGGUACAAUGGCACCCAGUGUAAAGCAGCUACAAUUAGGAGUGGAUGUGUUCUGUAGCAUCCUAUUUAAAUAAGCCUAUUUUAUCCUUUGGCCCGUCAACUCUGUUAUCUGCUGCUUGUACUGGUGCCUGUACUUUUCUGACUCUCAUUGACCAUAUUCCACGACCAUGGUUGUCAUCCAUUACUUGAUCCUACUUUACAUGUCUAGGCUGUGUGGUUGGUGGUGAAUAGGCUUCUUUUUACAUGGUGCUGCCAGCCCAGCUAAUUAAUGGUGCACGUGGACUUUUAGCAAGCGGGCUCACUGGAAGAGACUGAACCUGGCAUGGAAUUCCUGAAGAUGUUUGGGGUUUUUUUCUUUCUUAAUCGAAAGUUAACAUUGUCUGAAAAGUUUUGUUAGAACUACUGCGGAACCUCAAAAUCAGUAGAUUUGGAAGUGAUUCAAAGCUAAACUUUUUCCUUGGCCCUCCUUGUGUUCUAAUUGCUUGCAAGUGUAAUACUAGGAUGUCCAAGAUGCCAGUUUUUGCUUCUUUGUUAGUUGUCAGCUGCUUUUAUCAAAUUUCAGGCCAUUAUCCAACAAACACUAUAAAAAUGUUUGAACAAUUGGAUUUCAAACAUUUUCGUUUUGUGGAGUGGUGCUCACCAAGUGGUACAGCCCUAAGCAAGUGAACACAAACACAUUUAAGUGUAUUUUGUCUGAUUAGAUGUUAGCCAGUUAUGCUAUUUCAUUCAAAUGUCUGAAAAAAUCAAUUGACUAUUCCCUUUUCCUAAAGGGCAGAGACAGAUAAUCUCACUUCCAGAGAAAUGACUUGGAGAAAAAAAAGUGUUGGUCUUUUUGCUCUUUUGUAAUUAAAUCCGGAUGUACCUCAAAAGACUUAAGACUGUGGUGAUAAGAUGCUUUCCUCAGCAGAAAGGAGGGAAAAAAAACAACUGGAACUCAAAGCUUGAAAUUCUGUGGCAAAACAUGAGAUGUCCAGGAUUGGAGGUUGAAAAGAUUUCACUACAGUGUUCUGCAAUAGUUGGAGCAGAUAACUUUCAGUGUAGCCACAGCCAUGGACUCCAGAUUUCCAGAUUUUCAAGACCUGGACCUGGAACCCGAAAGAGCUUGUCACGAUGCGGCAGGAACACUGGAGGUAGAUUUUUUUUUAUUUUUGAAUUUUGGGACUGUUGACCUUGCUGUGAGAAAAGAGACAACGACUGAGCAAGCACUACCACCAGCACUGUUACUGGGAAUUAGAAGACCUGAGUUUCUGUCCAGACCCUCAGUGCAAACUGAGGAUGCUCCAUCCAAAGUGAAUUAUGCCUACAGACCUGGUACCUGGAUUUUUGCCCGAGAUGAUUCCUACCACCUUACUACUGACGAAGACACCCAUUCCAGUGGACCACUGUGACCCAGGAGGCAUUCAGCCAUCAUGAUGUGGCCUUUACCUCCACUCCUGUCUUGUUCUACCCAGAUUCAGCACAGCCCUUUAUAGUGAAGUCAGAGUCCUCAAGCCAAAUAGCUAAAGCUGUUUUAUCACAACAAAGGCCUAGUUUGUUCCAUGAGUGUGCAUUUCAUUUCUUCAGUUAAAGCCUUCAGAGACACACAAUAAAUUUGGACCAGGGGAUUUUUUAGUUAUUAAUGCUCUCUGAAGAAAGGCAACAUCUUUUUGAGAGCAGCAUUGGACCACACCCCACAAUCUCAAAUGAUUGAAAUUCAUGAACAUCUAGGAUCCCGUGAAGGUCACUGGACCCUGUUUUUUCUACUUCAAAUCCUGUAGUAGCCUACUGAAUGAGAAAACAUAUUCUGACCCAUUGGGAUCAAAUCAAAGGCACAGUGAACUCCUCAUAGCAUCUUCUUUGGAAUUACUCAGGAACCAGAACUUUUUACACAAAUGUAAGAAAUUCUACCAAGGAGUCCCCUUACCUAACAGCAUCUCACAAGGCUGCACCAGAUUCCAGAAAAGGCUUCUCUUGAUACAUCAAGGUAGAACCUCUAUGCAUUUUGUGACCGACUUAUUCUUAGAUCAUUGGUUUUCCAAAGGCUUUGUGGCCAUGAAGCCCUUUGAGUGAAAACUGUGCAGAAGCCCAGAGUAAAAGUGAAGCUGCUCUGGAUGAAGUAGUGAAGCAAGAGUAGGGGCCUGAAUCCUGCUACAACUAUCUUCCUUUACCACCGUGGUGACACCUAAGGGGACUUCCUUACAACACCUUGAACUCUUCCGAACACAGUUUGAAAACCACUGCCCCAGACAGCAAUAUGUUUGACCUGAAUGGCAUUCCAAUCUUUUCUGUACCUCCACUCAGCACAGUUCAUGUUCAGUAGAUGCUGAACAUUCUUAGAAAUACUGUGUGUGAACUUAGAAAAGUGCAAGAAGACAGGCAUGUCUUUGACCCCAGGAAUGAUCAUUUGCUGAAGAUGGUGUCAAGUGAACCUAGAUUAACAGCCCUCCACUCCAGAUGGAUAUCCAGUGAUUCCUAGAAUGGGAUAUAGCCAGAGAACAAUUCUAUGCACCCUACACUGACAGACUCCCUUAAGCAACACCAGAUGCUCUACUGGUACUUGAAGUACAUGACUUUGAAGUCUUGACCCUCCAUGAAUACCUGAAUUAUCAGCAAGCGGGUUUUGAAGCUGGUGCCUCAUUGAGGCCAUAUUAGAGCAACUUGUACAUUUGACCUCUUGUUAUCAGCCAUGGUACUCUACUUCGUGUGCAAGAGAUAACUAUGAAAGCCAAAUUCAAAUACUGGCAACAUUUCCUAAAGGGGCUCAAUAUCUAUCAUUCGUCUUCUUUUCCAAACUACACAUCACUGUAUGACUCAACCAGUAGCAGUUAUAUUGCCCCUUGGUUUUUAUUCAGUUUAACUACUGUUUCCAAGAUAAAUGAGCUAAUAAGCUUUAAAAAAAAAAAAAAAAAAGGCUGAAUUCUUUUUUCUUCAUCACUGGCAUAUCUGCCUAUUCUCCAGAAUUAUUAUGACUAUUCAGCUCACUUUAACAGUUGAACUUCAAGCGACAAUCUUUGAACACCCCUUCUCAUGUGAUUUAAAAUGAAACCAUUUGGAAAAGUUUCUUCUAGCCAGUAAUAGAUUUUUUUUUUAAUUGCUCUGCCUUGUGCCGAGAGAUGUUCUUUUAAGAUGAAUCUUUUGAUGUCUGAUACCACCAAAUAUAGGUGGUAGGGAGAGUUGGAGGCUGGCCCUUUGAGCAGGCCAUUAGCUUACUUGCUGGGCAUUUCCGAUAGCUUAUUGCCUACCUUUUUGCUGGAAACAAACUGAUUUGAAAAACAAAAUCUAUGAAGACUGCAGCUAAGGAUUUUAUCGGUAGACUUAAGAGCUUUUGUCCUUGUGGAUAUUUUAGUGGAACCACAUCAGUCUCAAUACUGUCAUUUUACACUGACUCAGAGCAGCUGACUUCAUUCCUUGCCAUGAUAUAUAUUUAAGGCAGGCAUUGUAACAGACAUAAAGACAACUUAUCUGUUUCAGCAGGAAGGAUUCAGUUUAUGAACUCUCAGACCAGAUCAUGUUGAACAAGGAGACUUUGAUGUGUGUCAUGAGAAAACUCAUUCUUUACUUCCCAGUCAAUUUAAAGGCCAGCUAUCCUGAGCUACUCGAAUGAAUGCACUGGUUAAACAUUGGAAAUAGUUUGUUUAUAUCCUUGUCUCUCUCUAGGCCAAUUGUGAUUACAUGACUCGACUCUACAUCUCGUCAAACAAGGCCUAGGUCUGGUUGCUGUAGACUGCUCGCCCUCAACAAAUAAAAUCUGGUUGACUAGCCUCCUUGUAUAUACAACUAUUAUUUGUUAAGAAGAAAUUAUCGUCAAUUUUCUACUACCUUCCAAUUGUCAGCUCUUUUUUUCCUCUCUGGUUUUUCCUAUACUUUACAGAAAAAGACAUUGAUCUAUACUGCCAUUCCCUCUAAUCCUGCCAUACUCAGUCAAAAGGAAUGACUUAAGAUGAAGAUGAUCAUCUGCUCGAGUCUAAAAUAUACAUUGUAUAUAAGAAUUGGUGAUUAGAAAAGCAAAAAACCUAAAACUUAAAUCUAGGAGUCUGUAUACUGUCUCCAUGUCUCCAUGCCUCAGAUCUCAUCUAAAUCUUUGAACAGCACCAUUCAACCAAUCUGAGGCCUUGACUUGCUUGUAAGAUGAUUCUCAGAGAUCGGCUGAGUUAAAAAAGAUGACGACUUGAUUACCAAAGAAAGUAGGGCCAACUUUGACAAAUCUGGCUCUGCUGACCCUGUCACUCCCAGAUGUAGCAUAGACUCCUAAACAGAACCUCAAGUCUGAUUGAGGAUAAGGCCUUCUCCUGAGCUGAAAGUUCUUUGGCAGAUGAGCAAGAAACUGAAAGCUGAUGUACCUGACUGGCUCUGUAAGAUCAGAAAACUGUAUCCAGAAUAAGCCCUAUGGAUUAACCCCUGAGUACCCAGAGUAAAAACUAAUUUACAGAACUUCCUUAUUGAUCUGCUGGUUCUUCCAGAUCAUAUUCUGGCUAUUGGUAUGGCUGGCCUUUCUGAAGGUACCCUGCUUGUCUAUUUUCCUGACUCAGCUCUUGCCUGCCUUUUUCACAUGUUGCUGCAAUUAGACUCACCGUGAGGACUACAGUCAAUUUCAGUCUAUCUUGUGCCCAAUACAACAAGGAUUUUUAAUAGUAACAACCCACACCUCACCCACUAGGACUCAAUGUUCACAACAGGAAGGACCAUUGCUGCAUACUCCUUGACCAGCAACUUUUUUGAAGAUAUUUUUAAGUGCAGAGUAGGCCUCUAUUCCUGUAUGUAAUUGUUCAUUUUCAGCACCUGGAACCUCAUCUAUCGGGUCUGGAAGGAAUACAGCAGUUCGAAAGCCGCGUCCAUUUCUCUCCUUCAGUAGUGCAGAAAUGAGUCCGAUUCACCAGUACACACAGAACUGUACCAGUUCAACCUAGCAAAAGAAGAAAAGUUUCCACUGUACUUAAAAUUUACAGCUGACUCAAAUUGCCUCACAGAAUUAUUUGAUGUAGAAGGCUAGUUGUCUUACUUCAGAUCAGCAGGACAGUUGGGCUCUCAGACUCAUGACCACUGAGUUUGCUUGUGUUGAAACUGUGGUUUCAUCCAACAUAUGCUAUUGGACAUGAUUAUUAUUCCAUUCAAAUGGAUUACAGACUUCUUGAGGACAGGACAAACUUAUCUCUCAUGGUGUUUUUUUAGAAUACUUUUAUAACCAAGGAAGAAACCAUGCCAGCUGUUACCAUUCAACUUCUUAAGCAGAGAUUAAGCUUUUUCAUAUCUGUUCUUAUCCUGGACAUCAGUAGUUUUUAAUUGCCCAGCAUCCGUUCCAUCUUGUAACAACUCCCUGAUGUUUCUUAAAACCACCUCUUCCUAUUUUCAGUCUGUGGUUUGGACAGUCUGACCCAACCUUGAGCUUUGUGGGUGAACAUGUAAUUCAGACCUCAUCAAUCAGCAAAUCCAUCUGAACUGUGGAGGAGAAGCUCUCUUUACUGAGGGUGCUUUAGCUUUGUAGGAUGAAAACCUCAAACUAACAGGGCCUACCAUGUAGAGAAUGAAGCCAGUGCAGGGGAAAGCAGAGCCAAAAUAUGGAGAGACUUGAAUCCUGAUGACAGCGUUUGUGCCCCUGGAUCCAACCGUGCCUGAAGCUAGAAUAUCCCCUGGACUUUUCAGUUAUGUGAACCAA
Molecule: long non-coding RNA, 6154 nt
Filed under: Homo sapiens (human)
Lineage: Eukaryota; Metazoa; Chordata; Mammalia; Primates; Hominidae
Description: non-protein coding TUG1:68
Rfam family: Taurine upregulated gene 1 conserved region 4 (bases 2315-2495)
Source: RNAcentral